UUAAAACUGAUGUUUAUAAGUUAAGGCUGUAAUAAGUGUAGAUUGUGAAGCACUGAAUCUGGGCUGAGCCAUAGCAGACAGGCUGAGCCUGGCCGCCUCGUCCUCCUCUUGCAGGGGGGAGCCUUCUGUGCUGUGAGUCCUGCCCAGCGGCCUUCCACCCUGACUGCCUGAACAUCGAGAUGCCUGACGGCAGCUGGUUCUGCAAUGACUGUAGGGCUGGGAAGAAGCUGCACUUCCAGGAUAUCAUUUGGGUGAAACUUGGGAACUACAGAUGGUGGCCGGCAGAAGUUUGCCAUCCCAAAAAUGUUCCCCCAAAUAUUCAGAAAAUGAAGCACGAGAUUGGAGAAUUCCCUGUGUUUUUCUUUGGGUCUAAAGAUUAUUACUGGACGCAUCAGGCGCGAGUGUUCCCGUACAUGGAGGGGGACCGGGGCAGCCGCUACCAGGGGGUCAGAGGGAUCGGAAGAGUCUUCAAAAACGCACUGCAAGAAGCUGAAGCUCGUUUUCGUGAAAUUAAGCUUCAGAGGGAAGCCCGAGAAACACAGGAGAGCGAGCGCAAGCCCCCA
RNAcentral lists this small RNA (563 nucleotides) under Pongo abelii (Sumatran orangutan). RNAcentral's name for it is "retained intron". Lineage: Eukaryota; Metazoa; Chordata; Mammalia; Primates; Hominidae. The record is from RNAcentral.